UGGGGAGUAUUGGACAAUGGGCGAAAGCCUGAUCCAGCCAUGCCGCAUGAGUGAAGAAGGCCUUUGGGUUGUAAAGCUCUUUUAGUGAGGAAGAUAAUGACGGUACUCACAGAAGAAGUCCUGGCUAACUCCGUGCCAGCAGCCGCGGUAAUACGGAGAGGGCUAGCGUUAUUCGGAAUUAUUGGGCGUAAAGGGCGCGUAGGCUGGUUAGUAAGUUAAAAGUGAAAUCCCGAGGCUUAACCUUGGAACUGCUUUUAAAACUGCUAACCUAGAGAUUGAAAGAGGAUAGAGGAAUUCCUAGUGUAGAGGUGAAAUUCGUAAAUAUUAGGAGGAACACCAAUGGCGAAGGCGUCUAUCUGGUUCAAAUCUGACGCUGAGGCGCGAAGGCGUGGGGAGCAAACA
This 402-nucleotide ribosomal RNA is filed under the name uncultured bacterium. RNAcentral's name for it is "bacterial SSU rRNA". It matches the Rfam family "Bacterial small subunit ribosomal RNA", at positions 355 to 774 of the family's 1533-position model. The record is from RNAcentral.